Molecule: small nucleolar RNA, 140 nt
Organism: Malurus cyaneus samueli
Lineage: Eukaryota; Metazoa; Chordata; Aves; Passeriformes; Maluridae
Source: Ensembl
CGACCCGCGUUCCCCCCGGCGCCGCCAGCCGCGGGCGCUCGGGGUUUUAGCGGUGUCGCAGAGCAGCGGCGGCUCCUUCUUCACCCGGCGGAGCAGAGGAGCCUUCGGAGCUCCGCCGGAUUUUGGGGGGUCGUACAAAU